Molecule: unclassified non-coding RNA, 329 nt
Filed under: uncultured fungus
Lineage: Eukaryota; Fungi
Description: partial contains small subunit ribosomal RNA, internal transcribed spacer 1, and 5.8S ribosomal RNA
Rfam family: Eukaryotic small subunit ribosomal RNA (bases 1-73)
Source: RNAcentral
UCAAACUUGGUCAUUUAGAGGAAGUAAAAGUCGUAACAAGGUUUCCGUAGGUGAACCUGCGGAAGGAUCAUUAACGUAAUCUCUGGGUGGGUGAGGUCUCACCAAGCUCCGUGGCCCCGUCGCAGCGGGUGCGCCUGAGCCCGCUCAAACUUUGCAAACCCACACCGUGCACCUUUGACGGCGGAGGGCGCUUGGCAUCUGCCGAGUGCCCAAGGCCGGACCCACAAACUCAGUUCAUUAACGAAUGUUCAGCGGACGUUGCGCCGCCUAAAACUUUGACAACUUUCAACAACGGAUCUCUUGGCUCUCGCAUCGAUGAAGAACGCAGC